GAGAGUGGGUUAGUCCGCAACGAGCGCACCCUGUCCUAUGUUGCCAGCAAGUAAUGUUGGGGACUCAUGGGAGACUGCCGGUGAUAAACCGGAGGAAGGUGGGGAUGACGUCAAGUCAUCAUGCCCCUUAUGUCCAGGGNCUGCACGCAUGCUACAAUGGCAAGUACAACGAGUCGCAAUAUCGCAAGGUGGAGCAAAUCUCUUAAAGCUUGUCUCAGUUCGGAUAGGAGUCUGCAACUCGACUCCUUGAAGUUGGAGUCGCUAGUAAUCGCAAAUCAGCAAAGUUGCGGUGAAUACGUUCUCGGGGUUUGUACACACCGCCCGUCAAGUCACGGAAGUCGGCAAUACCCGAAGCCUGUGGUCCAACCCUUUUGGGAGGAAGCAGUCGAAGGUAGGGUCGGUAACUGGGACUAAGUCGUAACAAGGUAGCCGUACGGGAACGUGCGGCUGGAUCACCUCCUUUCU
RNAcentral lists this ribosomal RNA (465 nucleotides) under uncultured Actinobacteridae bacterium. Its description in RNAcentral is "bacterial SSU rRNA". It matches the Rfam family "Bacterial small subunit ribosomal RNA", at positions 1072 to 1533 of the family's 1533-position model. Lineage: Bacteria; Bacillati; Actinomycetota; Actinomycetes. The record is from RNAcentral.